AGGUCUGUGAUCUGAGCUGCAGAAGGCAAGCAGCCAGAAUGACAAAGGGCCAAGGAGAAUACACUUAAAUGAUAUGAUCUUGCUCGGAUUGGUACUGUUUCCUUUGGAGCAAAGGUUUUGGAACCAAACUGUAAAAUGGUGCACUGCUGGAGAUGGACAAUGCAGCCAACAUGAUCAAGGUGUCUAACUGAAAAAAAUGUUCAAACUUCCAUCUGUGCGGCAAGGUAACUAUCUUAAUUGUUCAUGUAAUGCAGAAAGGCUAAUUAAAUCACUGCACCAACUAUAACAU
Long non-coding RNA from Pelobates fuscus (common spadefoot toad), 289 nucleotides. RefSeq lists it as uncharacterized. The record is from RefSeq and is a predicted model, not a curated record. Lineage: Eukaryota; Metazoa; Chordata; Amphibia; Anura; Pelobatidae. The transcript has 4 exons.